GAUGAACGCUGGCGGCGUGCCUAAUACAUGCAAGUCGAGCGAACAGACGAGGAGCUUGCUCCUCUGACGUUAGCGGCGGACGGGUGAGUAACACGUGGAUAACCUACCUAUAAGACUGGGAUAACUUCGGGAAACCGGAGCUAAUACCGGAUAAUAUAUUGAACCGCAUGGUUCAAUAGUGAAAGACGGUUUUGCUGUCACUUAUAGAUGGAUCCCCGCCGCAUUAGCUAGUUGGUAAGGUAACGGCUUACCAAGGCAACGAUGCGUAGCCGACCUGAGAGGGUGAUCGGCCACACUGGAACUGAGACACGGUCCAGACUCCUACGGGAGGCAGCAGUAGGGAAUCUUCGGCAAUGGGCGAAAGCCUGACGGAGCAACGCCGCGUGAGUGAUGAAGGUCUUCGGAUCGUAAAACUCUGUUAUUGGGGAAGAACAAAUGUGUAAGUAACUAUGCACGUCUUGACGGUACCUAAUCAGAAAGCCACGGCUAACUACGUG
Molecule: ribosomal RNA, 497 nt
Filed under: uncultured bacterium
Lineage: Bacteria
Description: partial 16S ribosomal RNA
Rfam family: Bacterial small subunit ribosomal RNA
Source: RNAcentral